GUGCCAGCCGCCGCGGUAAGACAGAGGGGGCAAGCGUUGCUCGGAAUUACUGGGCGUAAAGGGCGCGUAGGCGGGAUGGCAAGUCAGUCGUGAAAUCCCUGGGCUCAACUUAGGGGGGUCGGCUGAUACUGCCGUUCUUGAGGGAUGCAGAGGAGACUGGAAUUCCCGGUGUAGCGGUGAAAUGUGUAGAGAUCGGGAGGAACACCGGUGGCGAAGGCGGGUCUCUGGGCAUUCCCUGACGCUGAGGCGCGAAAGCGUGGGGAGCAAACGGGAUUAGAAACCCUGGUAGUCC
RNAcentral lists this ribosomal RNA (292 nucleotides) under uncultured bacterium. RNAcentral describes it as "partial 16S ribosomal RNA". It matches the Rfam family "Bacterial small subunit ribosomal RNA", at positions 505 to 796 of the family's 1533-position model. The record is from RNAcentral.